AUUGAACGCUGGCGGCAUGCUUUACACAUGCAAGUCGAGCGGCAGCGCGGGGGCAACCCUGGCGGCGAGCGGCGAACGGGUGAGUAAUGCAUCGGAGCGUAUCCUCGAGUGGGGGAUAACCCAGCGAAAGUUGGGCUAAUACCGCAUGAGCUCUGAGGAGGAAAGCGGGGGACCUGCGAGGGCCUCGCGCUGGAGGAGCGGCCGAUGUCCGAUUAGCUAGUUGGUGGGGUAAAGGCUUACCAAGGCGACGAUCGGUAGCUGGUCUGAGAGGAUGAUCAGCCACACUGGGACUGAGACACGGCCCAGACUCCUACGGGAGGCAGCAGUGGGGAAUUUUGGACAAUGGGGGCAACCCUGAUCCAGCCAUGCCGCGUGAGUGAAGAAGGCCUUCGGGUUGUAAAGCUCUUUCGGACGGAACGAAAUGGGCGGGACUAAUACUCCUGUCUGAUGACGGUACCGUAAGAAGAAGCACCGGCUAACUACGUG
Molecule: ribosomal RNA, 486 nt
Filed under: uncultured bacterium
Lineage: Bacteria
Description: partial 16S ribosomal RNA
Rfam family: Bacterial small subunit ribosomal RNA
Source: RNAcentral